ACCCCAUGGUGAGGGCACCUUCUCAAUAAGUCCUUAUAUCUCUCUCAUGCAUCAUAUAAGGCUUUCAAACCCAUUUGUACAAAAGAGGAGAUAUCAUUCCUCAGCUU
Molecule: small nucleolar RNA, 107 nt
Organism: Gossypium arboreum
Lineage: Eukaryota; Viridiplantae; Streptophyta; Magnoliopsida; Malvales; Malvaceae
Rfam family: Plant small nucleolar RNA R71
About the family: R71 is a member of the C/D box family of snoRNAs containing the C (UGAUGA) and D (CUGA) box motifs. Multiple nearly identical copies of this snoRNA have been identified in Arabidopsis, and it is thought to function as a 2'-O-ribose methylation guide for 18S ribosomal RNA.
Source: Rfam